AGUGAACGCUGGCGGUAGGCCUAACACAUGCAAGUCGAACGGCAGCACAGUAAGAGCUUGCUCUUACGGGUGGCGAGUGGCGGACGGGUGAGGAAUACAUCGGAAUCUACUUUUUCGUGGGGGAUAACGUAGGGAAACUUACGCUAAUACCGCAUACGACCUACGGGUGAAAGCAUGGGAUCUUCGGACCUUGCGCGAUUGAAUGAGCCGAUGUCGGAGUAGCUAGUUGGCGGGGUAAAGGCCCACCAAGGCGACGAUCCGUAGCUGGUCUGAGAGGAUGAUCAGCCACACUGGAACUGAGACACGGUCCAGACUCCUACGGGAGGCAGCAGUGGGGAAUAUUGGACAAUGGGCGCAAGCCUGAUCCAGCCAUACCGCGUGGGUGAAGAAGGCCUUCGGGUUGUAAAGCCCUUUUGUUGGGAAAGAAAAGCAGCAGGUUAAUACCCCGCUGUUCUGACGGUACCCAAAGAAUAAGCACCGGCUAACUUCGUG
RNAcentral lists this ribosomal RNA (492 nucleotides) under uncultured bacterium. RNAcentral describes it as "partial 16S ribosomal RNA". It matches the Rfam family "Bacterial small subunit ribosomal RNA", at positions 29 to 507 of the family's 1533-position model. The record is from RNAcentral.